RNAcentral lists this ribosomal RNA (616 nucleotides) under Archiperidium sp. MMS-2019a. Its description in RNAcentral is "partial large subunit ribosomal RNA". It matches the Rfam family "Eukaryotic large subunit ribosomal RNA", at positions 91 to 813 of the family's 3401-position model. Lineage: Eukaryota; Polycystinea; Nassellaria; Plagiacanthidae. The record is from RNAcentral.
GAGUGAAGCGGUCACAGCUUAAUCGAAAAUCCUGCGUCUCCCUUGACGUUGGGAAUUGUAGUCUUGGCUUCUGAAUGACGCUGGCUGACGGGUAAUUCGAUGGAAAUCGAGGUCAUAGAGGGUGACAACCCCGUUUUCUGUCGGCGCGGCGUCGUUUUUCAGUUGUCUUCCGAGUAGCGUUCAUUGGGAAUUGAGCGUGAAGCGGGUGGUGAUAUCCAUCCAAAGCUAAAUAUUGGCGAGAGACCGAUAGCGAACAAGUACCGUGAGGGAAAGAUGAAAAGCACUUUGGAGAGAGAGUUAAACAGUAUGCGAAAUCGUUGGAAGCAAGCGAAUCAGUGGGUAGAGCACGGUUCUGCGUUCUGAGCACUCUGCCGUCCGUGAGAGCCUAACAGCUCACCGGUCGGUUUGCCAGCGCUCGGUCGUGGGAUGAGGUUUUGGUGCUCCGCUUCGGCGAACCUUCUGAUCCGACCCGUCUUGAAACACGGACCAAGGAGUCUAAUAUGUGUGCGAGUGUUCGGGUGUCAAACCCCAACGCGCAGGUAACCCAAAUCGCGUUAGUCCUUUUUGGACGCAUCGCGGGUAGUGUGUCUUCCCUAACAAGAGCAGGUAUGUUGGA